AAUUAUGAGAUUUGCAGUGCCGAACAUCUGAAAAGGCCAUGCUUAAGACAACGUCAAUUUCAAUUUUUCCAUUUGCCUGUUCCUAGCAGCGUCUCAUGUAUGAACAUUCAGAUAUCACCGCGAAGCUCUCUUAGGCAUGCUUGCGAGAGAAACACCACUUUCCAAAUGCCACAUUUCAACCUGUUCUCAGUCCAAGAGGAAGGUGGCCACCAAACGCAUAAUUAGGAGAUCUGCUUAGAGAAGAAAAGCUGAACAACCCCCCCCCCGCCCUCAUGCCUCUGUGAAGGACCAAAGGCAGAUGAACAGAUUUAAAGGGAACACAUACCAGCUACAGAAAAAGAGGGAUGAACAUAUCACAAGCCUGGAAGUGGACAGGCUUCUGAUAACAAAUGGCAUCAUUUUUCAUGAGACAAGCAGAUCAAGUAAAUCCUUUUUUUUAAAGAAUAAGAACCUUAGUGGAGUGAAUUUUUCCCCACUCGUCAGAGAGAAAAGGAGACUUAGCUUUGGUUUCCCCUCACCCUUGAUCUCUUCUUUUUGUGAGCAGGGACAGAGGGCGGGCUGGCCGGCAGAUGUGAGCCAGUGGAGAUGCUAGCCUUACCACCCUCCAGAGGUUCUGCCCCUCGAAUGGCUUUUGUAAAGUACAUCUUUAAAUCUGGAGUAAAUUCCGUGCUCCUAUGGCUCUGGAGUCUACACCGUUCACUUGUUCUGGGUUCUGCUGUCUAAGUUCUGAUUGGACCACAAGCCCUGGGAAAUUUGACCCGCCUAUUAAAGGCCUUGCCUCAUGACAUUGUCCAUGGUGAUGUUCUGGGAAGCUUAGAAGGAGAGAAUAAAGGGGAAAUUGCUGAUUUAAUAUCUCGUAAC
Molecule: long non-coding RNA, 861 nt
Filed under: Pogona vitticeps (central bearded dragon)
Lineage: Eukaryota; Metazoa; Chordata; Lepidosauria; Squamata; Agamidae
Description: lncRNA (ENSPVIG00000010331.1)
Source: RNAcentral